UAGGGAAUCUUCCACAAUGGGCGAAAGCCUGAUGGAGCAACGCCGCGUGUGUGAUGAAGGCUUUAGGGUCGUAAAGCACUGUUGUAUGGGAAGAAAUGCUAGAAUAGGGAAUGAUUCUAGUUCGACGGUACCAUACCAGAAAGGGACGGCUAAAUACGUGCCAGCAGCCGCGGUAAUACGUAUGUCCCGAGCGUUAUCCGGAUUUAUUGGGCGUAAAGCGAGCGCAGACGGUUGAUUAAGUCUGAUGUGAAAGCCCGGAGCUCAACUCCGGAAUGGCAUUGGAAACUGGUUAACUUGAGUGUUGUAGAGGUAAGUGGAACUCCAUGUGUAGCGGUGGAAUGCGUAGAUAUAUGGAAGAACACCAGUGGCGAAGGCGGCUUACUGGACAACAACUGACGUUGAGGCUCGAAAGUGUGGGUAGCAAACAGGAUUAGAUACCCUGGUAGUCCACACCGUNNNGAUGAAUACUAGGUGUUAGGAGGUUUCCGCCUCUUAGUGCCGAAGCUAACGCAUUAANUAUUCCNNCUGGGGAGUACNACCGCAAGGUUG
Molecule: ribosomal RNA, 549 nt
Filed under: uncultured bacterium
Lineage: Bacteria
Description: bacterial SSU rRNA
Rfam family: Bacterial small subunit ribosomal RNA
Source: RNAcentral